This 301-nucleotide ribosomal RNA is filed under the name uncultured bacterium. RNAcentral describes it as "partial 16S ribosomal RNA". It matches the Rfam family "Bacterial small subunit ribosomal RNA", at positions 509 to 807 of the family's 1533-position model. The record is from RNAcentral.
CAGUCGCCGCGGGAAUACGUAGGGUGCAAGCGUUAAUCGGAAUUACUGGGCGUAAAGCGUGCGCAGGCGGUUAUAUGAGUCAGAUGUGAAAUCCCCGGGCUCAACCUGGGAACUGCAUUUGAGACUGUAUGGCUAGAGUGUGUCAGAGGGGGGUAGAACUCCACGUGUAGCAGUGAAAUGCGUAGAUAUGUGGAGAAAUACCGAUGGCGAAGGCGGCCCCCUGGGAUAACACUGACGCUCAUGCACGAAAGCGUGGGGAGCAAACAGGAUUAGAUACCCCUGUAGUCCCUGUCUCUUAUAC